Molecule: ribosomal RNA, 483 nt
Filed under: uncultured bacterium
Lineage: Bacteria
Description: bacterial SSU rRNA
Rfam family: Bacterial small subunit ribosomal RNA
Source: RNAcentral
GACGAACGCUGGCGGCGUGCUUAACACAUGCAAGUCGAACGGUAAGGCCCCUUCGGGGGUACACGAGUGGCGAACGGGUGAGUAACACGUGAGUAACCUGCCCCUAACUCUGGAAUAACGGCUGGAAACAGCCGCUAAUACCGGAUAUGACCUCGAGCGUCAUCGCUUGAGGUGGAAAGCUCCGGCGGUUAGGGAUGGACUCGCGGCCUAUCAGCUUGUUGGUGAGGUAACGGCUCACCAAGGCUUCGACGGGUAGCCGGCCUGAGAGGGCGACCGGCCACACUGGGACUGAGAUACGGCCCAGACUCCUACGGGAGGCAGCAGUGGGGAAUAUUGCACAAUGGGCGCAAGCCUGAUGCAGCAACGCCGCGUGUGGGAUGACGGCCUUCGGGUUGUAAACCACUUUCAGCUAGGACGAAGCGCAAGUGACGGUACUAGCAGAAGAAGCACCGGCCAACUACGUGCCAGCCGCCGCCGUAACAC